UGGGGAAUAUUGGGCAAUGGGCGCAAGCCUGACCCAGCAACGCCGCGUGAAGGAAGAAGGCCCUCGGGUUGUAAACUUCUUUUAUCAGGGACGAAACAAAUGACGGUACCUGAUGAAUAAGCCACGGCUAACUACGUGCCAGCAGCCGCGGUAAUACGUAGGUGGCAAGCGUUAUCCGGAUUUACUGGGUGUAAAGGGCGUGUAGGCGGGAGAGCAAGUCAGACGUGAAAUUCCAGGGCUCAACCCUGGAACUGCGUUUGAAACUGUUCUUCUUGAGUGAUGGAGAGGCAGGCGGAAUUCCGU
Molecule: ribosomal RNA, 303 nt
Filed under: uncultured bacterium
Lineage: Bacteria
Description: bacterial SSU rRNA
Rfam family: Bacterial small subunit ribosomal RNA
Source: RNAcentral